Molecule: ribosomal RNA, 256 nt
Filed under: uncultured bacterium
Lineage: Bacteria
Description: partial 16S ribosomal RNA
Rfam family: Bacterial small subunit ribosomal RNA
Source: RNAcentral
GACGUAGGUGGCGAACGUUAUCCGGAAUUAUUGGGCGUAAAGGGCGCGUAGGUGGCCUGACAAGUUAUCAGUGGCAAAUCGAGGCUCAACCUCGUGGAAACUGGUAAUACUGUCCGGCUUGAGUGCAGGAGAGGUUAACGGAACUCUAUGUGGAGGGGUAAAAUCCAUAGAUAUAUAGAUGAACAUCAAUAAAGGCGAAGGCAGUUAACUAUUCUGUUACUGACACUGAGGCACGAAAGCGUGGGGAGCAAACAGG